CAAAUUGUCUCUAUGGGGCAGUUGAAAUCCCUGAGUGCUGAGCAACCCUCGACACUGUAAGGCAGCAAGAGCAAGAGAGAGGAGGAAGAAAAGGAUGAGUGAGGACAGCAUGAACUUUUAGAAAAGAUAGAAGUCAAAAGGACUGACAACCGUUAAAAAGCUCUUCUCUCCUUGGAACUGUUUUAUUCCUUUAUUCCAUGAGUGCUACAAGUGUGCUCAGGUCCUUCAGUCCGUCAGCAAUGCCUGGCCCAGUCAUGCCGAUGGACGUGGCAAUGAGAUUCUACAUCAGCCACUCUCCGCCUCCUCUCCGAGGUUUCCUCAGCUCCUACGAAGAGCUGCAGAGGACCAAGAAGAACCAGGCCAGCCAGUCGACCAGGCGGAGCCACAACCAGCAGCUCUACAAACCCCUGCGGCCCUGCCUCAGCAACCAGCAGAGAGCAGUGGACGAUGGCGGCUGCACUGGCUGGAACAACAGCAAGGCCGGCAAAAAGAAGGUGGUGUUCGCAGACACGAGGGGCAUGUCACUCACCGCCAUCCACGUCUUCUCCAAGUUCGACGAUGAGCCGUAUCAAAACAAGCCUUGCAGUGGAAUCAUCGAGGAGCUGCAGUUUGACAUGUCAGACCUGGAAACGGCCACGAAAGACCUAAAGGUCAGCUCGGUGCGCAACCUGGCGCUGGACUUUAAACAGCCUUCGGCCGACUACCUGGACUUCCGGAACCGCCUGAUUCAGAACUCGGUCUGCUUGGAGAACUGCUCGCUGCAGGAGCGCUCCCUAACCGGCACCAUCAAGGUCCGGAACAUGGGGUUUGAGAAGUCGGUGCAGUUGCGCGCCACCUUCGACUCAUGGGCAAGCUUCGAUGACAUCGAGUGCACCUUCAUGAACAACGUCUACAGCUGCCAGGAUACCGACACCUUUGCGUUCGUCGUGGAUCUACCCGCCUACAUCCCCCCACAGAAUAGUGUCGAGUUCUGUAUCUGCUUCAAAGCCCAGGGCCAGACCUUCUGGGACAAUAACGACGGCAAGAACUACGUUCUCAAGCAUGUCGGCUGGAACGGAGUGCACCUGAACACUCGGAUUCCCCCGACAUCUGUUGAGCAGAAAAAGCCUUCAGAGCACAAAAACGGGGUCGUGAAGGUGCUGGAGAUGGAGUUUGAUCAGUUUGGCAGCCCACGCAUGUCAAGUGGACUCUUUCCUGGCUGGCAGAGCUGGGGUCAGAUUGAUAACGCCGUGCCUUAUUGGUGAACACAUCAGGAUGUUUGCUGAAAAUAACAUUGAACUAAGAUAACAUACACUGACAGGGCAUUCAGUGCAAAUCCAGCUGUGGGUUUGAGCUUAGACUGGCUCUCAAAAUGAAAUUGAGCAAACAACCUUUGCUUCUUUCUUUUUUUUUUUAGCAGAGGAAGUGUACAAACCAAGACCUAAAUGGUCUGUGGUUGGAGGAUGGGGGAUAAAUGGGAAAAAUCUAUCUUGUUUCACAUAUUCCUCUUAUGUAACAUAUUAAUGUGCCUUCUCCAAAUUGUACAGCCCACAACAAAUGCUGAGCCCCUUUUGAGGGCCUGAUGUAUUGGCUAAAUAUGCACUGAUUGAAAUGUGUCUCUCAAUGUGAUGUAAACUGUAAACUGAAGAGGUGGAAAGUGGAGCUGAUUAAGUCCUUCAUAUUGAAGGGAAAGUACUGCGGAGUGCAUGGCAACAAAAUGCUUCUCUACUAAACGAAACACAGCUGAUUCAUUUCUAAAAUGAAAAAUGCACACUAAACUUUUGCACCUUCAAAUGAGAAAGUAAUUUAACAUUAUAAAAAGUAGCCUUUUUUCAUUUUUAAGUCAUGCAGCCCAUUCUUUCUUUCCCUCUGUGAAAAUUGCACAUGUCUGAUGAAAGAUGUUUGAAUGAUUGUAAUAUUAAGGUGAGUUUGUUAAGGAACUGAGCUGCUGUCAACAGAUGUGUCUCAAGAGAGACUGCACGUGAUUGGUUGUCUCGAACAAGGAGGACGUUUGGAAAUUUCGGUGGCUACCGUAUGUCGAGAAAGGUGUUUUUAUUCUGCGAUGAGUGUACAGUAUGUGUGGCUGGAAGGGAGAUUUUUCUUUGUUGAAGAAAAUCUAUUUUUUUCUCACUGUGAAAGAGAGGCCUGUGUUCCAGCAUUGUGUUUCACAUGAAGAUGUGGGUCAUGUAUUUCCCUUUCUGAAAUAAAUUUCUAUAUUUGUGCUAAAAUA
Molecule: RNA transcript, 2209 nt
Organism: Sander lucioperca (pikeperch)
Lineage: Eukaryota; Metazoa; Chordata; Actinopteri; Perciformes; Percidae
Gene: ppp1r3ca
Gene name: protein phosphatase 1, regulatory subunit 3Ca
Exons: 3
Source: RefSeq, a predicted model, not a curated record